This 494-nucleotide ribosomal RNA is filed under the name uncultured bacterium. RNAcentral's name for it is "partial 16S ribosomal RNA". It matches the Rfam family "Bacterial small subunit ribosomal RNA", at positions 28 to 507 of the family's 1533-position model. The record is from RNAcentral.
GACGAACGCUGGCGGCGCGCUUAACACAUGCAAGUCGAACGGAAAGGCCUGCUUUCCCUUGUGGAUUGCGGGUACUCGAGUGGCGAACGGGUGAGUAACACGUGAGUGAUCUGCCCCCAACUUGGGCAUAAGCCUGGGAAACUGGGUCUAAUUCCCGAUAGGACUGCAGGGUGGUGCCUGUGGUGGAAAACGAUUUUCUAGUGGUUGGGGAUGAGCUCGCGGCCUAUCAGCUUGUUGGUGGGGUAAUGGCCUACCAAGGCGGCGACGGGUAGCCGGCCUGAGAGGGUGGACGGCCACAUUGGGACUGAGAUACGGCCCAGACUCCUACGGGAGGCAGCAGUGGGGAAUAUUGCACAAUGGGCGGAAGCCUGAUGCAGCGACGCCGCGUGGGGGAUGACGGCCUUCGGGUUGUAAACUCCUUUCGACCGCGAGGAAGCCACCUGGUUGGAAGGGUGGUGACGGUAGUGGUAGAAGAAGCACCGGCUAACUACGUG